RNAcentral lists this ribosomal RNA (619 nucleotides) under uncultured bacterium. RNAcentral's name for it is "bacterial SSU rRNA". It matches the Rfam family "Bacterial small subunit ribosomal RNA", at positions 62 to 675 of the family's 1533-position model. The record is from RNAcentral.
UCGACGAGAGACCUUCGGGUCUCUAGUGGCGAACGGGUGAGUAACACCUAUGGAACCUGCCCGCGCACCGGGAAUACGCUCUGGAAACGGAUAACAAAUCCCGAUGUACAGGAAGGAGGCAUCUUCUUUCUGUGAAACAUCCUUUCGGGGAUGGGGCGCGGAUGGACCUGCGGUGCAUUAGUUGGUUGGCGGGGUAAAGGCCCACCAAGACGAUGAUGCAUAGCCGGCCUGAGAGGGCGGACGGCCACAUUGGGACUGAGACACGGCCCAGACUCCUGCGGGAGGCAGCAGUAGGGAAUUUUCGUCAAUGGGCGCAAGCCUGAACGAGCGAUGCCGCGUGAGUGAAGAAGGCCUUCGGGUCGUAAAGCUCUGUUGCGGGGGAAAAAAGGCAGCAUCAGGAAAUGGGUGCUGACUGAUGGUGCCCCGCCAGAAAGUCACGGCUAACUACGUGCCAGCAGCCGCGGUAAUACGUAGGUGGCGAGCGUUAUCCGGAAUGAUUGGGCGUAAAGGGUGCGCAGGCGGUCCUGCAAGCCUGGAGUGAAACGCAUGAGCUCAACUCAUGCAUGGCUUUGGAAACUGGAGGACUGGAGAGCAGGAGAGGGCGGUGGAACUCCAUGUG